GCCUACAGCAAUACCACUCUGAGAGCGCUCGAUCUCGUCUGCUCUCGGAAUCUAAGCAGGGUCGGGUCCAGUUAUUACUUGGAUGGAAGACCUCCAGGGAAUAUUGGUUGAUGAAGGCU
Ribosomal RNA from Chloebia gouldiae (Gouldian finch), 119 nucleotides. The record is from Ensembl. NCBI's taxonomy places the organism in Eukaryota, Metazoa, Chordata, Aves, Passeriformes, Passeridae.